Molecule: ribosomal RNA, 253 nt
Filed under: uncultured bacterium
Lineage: Bacteria
Description: partial 16S ribosomal RNA
Rfam family: Bacterial small subunit ribosomal RNA
Source: RNAcentral
UACGUAGGGUGCAAGCGUUGUCCGGAAUUAUUGGGCGUAAAGAGCUCGUAGGCGGUCUGUCGCGUCUGCUGUGAAAACUCAGGGCUUAACCCUGAGCUUGCAGUGGGUACGGGCAGACUAGAGUGCGGUAGGGGAGAUUGGAAUUCCUGGUGUAGCGGUGGAAUGCGCAGAUAUCAGGAGGAACACCGGUGGCGAAGGCGGCGUUCUGGACUGUUACUGACACUGAGGAACGAAAGCCAGGGGAGCAAACGGG